ACUCUGGGAGGCUGUGCCUGGGCGUGCAGUCCUUCCAAGAACUGGGUCACAUUUCUAGCCAUUGCAAAAAUCUUCCACUAUUUUCAAUUCUUAGUUCUGCCAACCAUGCAAAAGAAGAGACAUUCCAAACAAAGUAUCCAACAGACAGCAACAGCAUCAUAUCUGUUUGUCCUCAUGAGGAACAAGGAAAGAUAAGGAAGAUGCAGUGCUCUGAGGGGAUGAUAGUCAGGAGUCUAAACAAGACAACCACGUACCAGAUACUUCUGUUCAGAAUGUAUUCUGCCACUCCGUCCAAAACAAGAAGUUUACAUAUAGUCAAAGACAUCUCUGAAGGUAUAGGUAUGUAUCUGAAUGUUUAAAUCCUUCCUAUUAGUU
This 375-nucleotide long non-coding RNA is filed under the name Anas platyrhynchos platyrhynchos (common mallard). RNAcentral describes it as "lncRNA (ENSAPLG00000023246.1)". The record is from RNAcentral. Lineage: Eukaryota; Metazoa; Chordata; Aves; Anseriformes; Anatidae.